GAUGAACGCUGGCGGCGUGCCUAAUACAUGCAAGUCGAGCGAACAGAUGAGGAGCUUGCUCCUCUGACGUUAGCGGCGGACGGGUGAGUAACACGUGGAUAACCUACCUAUAAGACUGGGAUAACUUCGGGAAACCGGAGCUAAUACCGGAUAAUAUAUUGAACCGCAUGGUUGAAUAGUGAAAGACGGUUUUGCUGUCACUUAUAGAUGGAUCCGCGCCGCAUUAGCUAGUUGGUAAGGUAACGGCUUACCAAGGCAACGAUGCGUAGCCGACCUGAGAGGGUGAUCGGCCACACUGGAACUGAGACACGGUCCAGACUCCUACGGGAGGCAGCAGUAGGGAAUCUUCCGCAACGGGCGAAAGCCUGACGGAGCAACGCCGCGUGAGUGAUGAAGGUCUUCGGAUCGUAAAACUCUGUUAUUAGGGAAGAACAAAUGUGUAAGUAACUAUGCACGUCUUGACGGUACCUAAUCAGAAAGCCACGGCUAACUACGUG
RNAcentral lists this ribosomal RNA (497 nucleotides) under uncultured bacterium. Its description in RNAcentral is "partial 16S ribosomal RNA". It matches the Rfam family "Bacterial small subunit ribosomal RNA", at positions 28 to 507 of the family's 1533-position model. The record is from RNAcentral.